UGGCUCAGUUGUAGAGUGACUGCCUGGCAUGCAUGAGACUCUGGGUUCAAACCCCAG
This 57-nucleotide transfer RNA is filed under the name Ictidomys tridecemlineatus (thirteen-lined ground squirrel). RNAcentral's name for it is "Spermophilus tridecemlineatus (thirteen-lined ground squirrel) tRNA". It matches the Rfam family "tRNA", at positions 8 to 63 of the family's 71-position model. From Rfam's summary of the family: Transfer RNA (tRNA) molecules are approximately 80 nucleotides in length. Their secondary structure includes four short double-helical elements and three loops (D, anti-codon, and T loops). Lineage: Eukaryota; Metazoa; Chordata; Mammalia; Rodentia; Sciuridae. RNAcentral also lists the same sequence under 1 other name. The record is from Rfam by way of RNAcentral.